GACGAACGCUGGCGGCGUGCUUAACACAUGCAAGUCGAGCGGUAAGGCCCUUUGGGGUACACGAGCGGCGAACGGGUGAGUAACACGUGAGUAAUCUGCCUUUGGCUUGGGAAUAACUUCGGGAAAUCGGGGCUAAUGCCUGAUGUUUACUGUCUGCUGCAUGGUGGGUGGUGGAAAGAUUUUUUGGCCAGGGAUGAGCUCGCGGUCUAUCAGCUUGUUGGUGGGGUAAUGGCUACCAAGGCUUUGACGGGUAGCCGGCCUGAGAGGGUGUUCGGCCACACUGGGACUGAGACACGGCCCAGACUCCUACGGGAGGGCAGCAGUGGGGAAUAUUGCGCAAUGGGCGUAAGCCUGACGCAGCGACGCCGCGUGGGGA
This 376-nucleotide ribosomal RNA is filed under the name uncultured bacterium. Its description in RNAcentral is "bacterial SSU rRNA". It matches the Rfam family "Bacterial small subunit ribosomal RNA", at positions 28 to 407 of the family's 1533-position model. The record is from RNAcentral.